This 157-nucleotide ribosomal RNA is filed under the name Bursaphelenchus abruptus. RNAcentral's name for it is "5.8S ribosomal RNA". It matches the Rfam family "5.8S ribosomal RNA". From Rfam's summary of the family: 5.8S ribosomal RNA (5.8S rRNA) is a component of the large subunit of the eukaryotic ribosome. Lineage: Eukaryota; Metazoa; Nematoda; Chromadorea; Rhabditida; Aphelenchoididae. The record is from RNAcentral.
CAAGUUGUAUCGGUGGAUCACUUGGUUCGUGGGUCGAUGAAGAACGCAGUGAAUUGCGUUAUGAAGUACGAAUUACAGAUAUUAUGAGUACCAUGUUUUCGAAUGCACAUUGCGCCGUUGGGUUUAGCCCUUCGGCAUAUGCGAUUCAGGGUGUUUU